RNAcentral lists this ribosomal RNA (258 nucleotides) under uncultured prokaryote. RNAcentral describes it as "partial 16S ribosomal RNA". It matches the Rfam family "Bacterial small subunit ribosomal RNA", at positions 524 to 780 of the family's 1533-position model. The record is from RNAcentral.
UACGGAGGAUGCGAGCGUUAUCCGGAUUUAUUGGGUUUAAAGGGUGCGUAGGCGGCUUAGUAAGUCAGCGGUGAAAUUUUGUCAGCUUAACUGUAACAGUGCCGUUGAUACUGCCAGGCUAGGAUUUGGUUGCUGUGGGUGGAAUGUGUGGUGUAGCGGUGAAAUGCAUAGAUAUUACACAGAACACCGAUUGCGAAGGCAGCUUACUAAUCCAUCAUUGACGCUGAGGCACGAAAGCGUGGGGAUCAAACAGGAUUA